GUGAAACCGCGAACGGCUCAUUAAACCGCUAUAAUCUACUUGAUCUUGACAUAUAUCUACUUGGAUAACUGUGGUAAUUCUAGAGCUAAUACAUGCACAAAUUCUCUGACCUUGCGGGAAGAGCGCAUUUAUUAGAGCAAAACCAGGCGGCUUCGGUCGUUUUUUGCUGACUCAGAAUAACUCAGCUGAUCGCACGGUCUCGUACCGGCGACGUGUCUUUUGAGUAUCUGCUUUAUCAAUUUUCGAUGGUAGUGUAUCUGACUACCAUGGUUUUGACGGGUAACGGAGAAUCAGGGUUCGACUCCGGAGAAGGGGCCUGAGAAAUGGCCACUACGUCUAAGGAUGGCAGCAGGCGCGCAAAUUACCCACUCUCGGAAUGAGGAGGUAGUGACGAGAAAUAACGAGACCGUUCUCUUUGAGGCCGGUUAUCGGAAUGGGUACAAUUUAAACCCUUUAACGAGUAUCUAUGAGAGGGCAAGUCUGGUGCCAGCAGCCGCGGUAAUUCCAGCUCUCAAAAUGCAUAGAACCAUUGCUGCGGUUAAAAAGCUCGUAGUUGAAUCUAUGCCUGAGGCUUGGUCCACUCUUUGAGUGCGUACUAGGUUCUUUGGCUUUUCGUCGGUUUUCUUGUCGUGGCCUUUAUUGGUGGCGGCAAGUGGCUGACAAUUUUACUUUGAACAAAUCAGAGUGCUUAAAACAGGCGUCUCGCUUGUAUGCUUUUGCAUAGAAUAAUGGAACACGACUUCGGUCUAGUUUUAUUGGUUUUAUAGAUCGUUGUAAUGAUUAAAAGAGACAAACGGGGGCAUUCGUAUUGUUGCGUGAGAGGUGAAAUNNNNNNNNNNNNNNNNNNNNNNNNNNNNNNNNNGCAUUUGCCAAGCUUGUCUUCAUUAAUCAAGAACGAAAGUCAGAGGAUCGAAGGUGAUCAGAUACCGCCCUAGUUCUGACCGUAAACGAUGCCAACUAGCGAUUCGCCGGCGGAUUAUUUGCCCUGGCGAGGAGCUUCCCGGAAACGAAAGUCUUCCGGUUCCGGGGGAAGUAUGGUUGCAAAGCUGAAACUUAAAGGAAUUGACGGAAGGGCACCACCAGGAGUGGAGCCUGCGGCUUAAUUUGACUCAACACGGGAAAACUCACCCGGCCCGGACACUAUAAGGAUUGACAGAUUGAUAGCUCUUUCAUGAUUUGGUGGAUGGUGGUGCAUGGCCGUUCUUAGUUCGUGGAGUGAUUUGUCUGGUUUAUUCCGAUAACGAGCGAGACUCUAGCCUACUAAAUAGUCUGCCCAUUGCUAUUGUGCGGCAGUACUUCCUAGAGGAAUUUUCGGUGUUUAACCGCAUGAAAUUGAGCAAUAACAGGUCUGUGAUGCCCUUAGAUGUCCGGGGCUGCACGCGCGCUACACUGGUAAAGUCAGCGUGCAUCUCCUCUCUCGAAAGAGAUUGGUAAACCAGUGAACGUUUGCCGUGAUAGGGAUCGGAAAUUGCAAUUAUUUUCUGUGAACGAGGAAUUCCAAGUAAAUGUGAGUCAUCAACUCGCGUUGAUUACGUCCCUGCCCUUUGUACACACCGCCCGUCGCUGCCCGGGACUGAGCCAUUUCGAGAAAAUUGGGGAUUGCUGACUGACGGUUCUUCGGGAUUGUCUUUUGG
RNAcentral lists this ribosomal RNA (1634 nucleotides) under Tylenchomorpha sp. Asemum_PT. RNAcentral's name for it is "partial 18S ribosomal RNA". It matches the Rfam family "Eukaryotic small subunit ribosomal RNA". The record is from RNAcentral. Lineage: Eukaryota; Metazoa; Nematoda; Chromadorea; Rhabditida.